CAAUAGCGUAUAUUAAAGUUGUUGCGGUUAAAAAGCUCGUAGUUGGAUUUCUGCUGAGAACGACCGGUCCGCCCUCUGGGUGUGUAUCUGGCUCUUUCUUGGCAUCUUCUUGGUGAACGUUGCUGCACUUGACUGUGUGGAGCGCUACCCAGGACUUUUACUUUGAGGAAAUUAGAGUGUUUCAAGCAGGCAUACGCCUUGAAUACAUUAGCAUGGAAUAAUAAGAUAGGACCUCGGUUCUAUUUUGUUGGUUUCUAGAGCUGAGGUAAUGAUUAAUAGGGAUAGUUGGGGGCAUUCGUAUUUAACUGUCAGAGGUGAAAUUCUUGGAUUUACGGAAGAUAAACUACUGCGAAAGCAUUUGCCAAGGAUGUUUUCAUUG
RNAcentral lists this ribosomal RNA (379 nucleotides) under uncultured eukaryote. RNAcentral's name for it is "partial 18S ribosomal RNA". It matches the Rfam family "Eukaryotic small subunit ribosomal RNA", at positions 592 to 975 of the family's 1831-position model. The record is from RNAcentral.